RNAcentral lists this long non-coding RNA (831 nucleotides) under Homo sapiens (human). RNAcentral's name for it is "novel transcript". The record is from RNAcentral. Lineage: Eukaryota; Metazoa; Chordata; Mammalia; Primates; Hominidae.
UAACUUUCUAUGGAAUGAAAAAGUCUAGCAAUGAUACCUAUUCCAAAGCAGUGCAGUUGGCGCUACCUUUACACAGAAUACACAAUCUCUUAAAAAUACACUUAUCUCAAGCUGAAGCACACAAACUUCUAAAGCCAGAAAUUAAACCGAGAAAUGACUGCAUGAGAUAAGUAGUUCCAAAUGUUCCUUAUGCUUUAAAGUGAGAGGAUCAUCAAAGUGUCAGGGAAUUCAGUAUUCUGUGAGACAGACCAAUGAAAUUUGAGAAACACUUUAACUUUGAAAGUGCAAACACGUAAUUCAGGAAGAUGCACAGUUUCAUUAAAAGCUUAAAUUAACAGAGACUCAAGAAAUAAGUGAAGCCUGUAAAUGGUGAAAGCAAAAGAGACUGAGGAGCUGAUACCCAAACUUGUGAAGGAGAAGCUGAUGAACAGCUUCAGACUUAACUGCUAUUAUGAUUUACUAAAUCAUUCUUUUAUAUCUCCUGUGGUUAAAAAAUGAAAACCAACCUGGGCUGAAAACAGAAGACUGAAUGCCAAAAUGUUUGGAAUCCCACUUCAUUCAAAUAGUGACCACUGGGGUUAUGAAGAAAGAGAAGUUAUUGGUUUCCACAGAAGCAGAGUCAGCAGGGGUCAUGGUAGUUAAGUAGUACCUUCAUCUUGUCUCCAGAAUUUAGUUCUUGAUUCAUAAGUAGGAGGUUAUGAAGGUAGAAAGUUGUAGAUUUUUGAAUAUAUGAAACAACAAGGUUACUAAACAGUUUAAAUUCUCCAAGCCUAGGAGAAUUUCUAGUUCCUCGUCGUCCACUCUUUAUUAAAAAUGAAAAGUGAAUUUACC